AGCUGAAUUCCCAAGUACCACGAGACACGGAAAACCUUGUGGGAAGCCGGGUCGGUCACGAUCCAAGACUAAAUACUCAAACUGACCGAUAGUGAACUAGUACCGUGAGGGAAAGGUGAAAAGCACCCCGAAAGGGGAGUGAAAUAGAAACUGAAACCAUUAGCUAACAAACAGACAAAGUCAUAGUUUUACUAUGAUGAUGUCGUGCCUAUUGAAGAAUGAGCCAGCGAGUGUUCAAAGAUACUGCAUGUUUAAUCCCAAUAUUUGGGAGUAGGCAUAGGGAAACCAAGUCUGAAUAGGGCGAAAUAUUUGCAGUUAUUGAACGACCCGAAACUGGGUGAGCUAACCAUGAGCAGGGUGAACAUUUAUGAAAAUAAAUGGAAGGCCCGAACUCGUUGUCGGUGAAAUGACAUGAGAUGACUUGUGGUUAGGGGUAAUAUGCCAAUCGAACCCAGAGAUAGCUGGUUCUCCCCGAGAUAUAUUUAGGUAUAGCCUUCACCGUAACAUAAUAGGGGUAGAGCUACUGGAUAGUUUUGGGAGCUUUUAGCGACCAGAACCAACCAAACUCCGAAUACUUAUUAUGGUGGUGGGGAGUCAGUCCUAUUCGGAUAAGCGAGUAUGGGCGAAAGGGAAACAACCCAGACUCUCGUCUAAGGUUCUUAAAUGAUUUUUAAGUGAUACAAGGAUGUUGUAUUUCCAAUACAGCAGGUAGGUUGGCUUAGAAGCAGCCAUCCUUUAAAGAGUGCGUAACAGCUCACCUGAAUAGUCCUGCUUCGGCAGGAUGGAAAUACUGCGCCGAAAAUGAACGGAGCUAAAUAAUCUACCGAAGACGGAGAUUUGCGAUUUAUUCGCAAGUGGUAGGGGAGCGUUCUUGCAUCAGUGAAUGCAAACUGUAAAGUUUGCUGGAGAGGCAAGAAGUGAGAAUGCUGGCAUGAGUAGUGAUUCUCCCGAUGAAAACUCGGGAUGCCGAAAAUCCAAGGUUUCCUCAGCAAUGUCAAUCAGCUGAGGGUUAGUCGGAUCUAACUUGGCCUUAUACAUUAAGGCUAGGGAUGUACAAACCGUUAAUAUUCGGUUACUUAUUUUUAUGCGUUAUUAUGUUUUUAAUGACGAAGUUUGCUAAGCGGAGCCUUGCUUGCAGGGUUUAAAUAGUUAAAUAUUUCGUAAGUUAUAUCAAAGCUAUGAAUACAAAUUUUCGUAACGAGAAUAAGUCUGCUGACGUAAGUUUCCCGGAAAAGUUAAAAACAGAGUGUAAAAAUAAUCCGUACCAAAACCGACACAGGUGGAUAGGUGGAGAACACCAAGGCAUACGGGUAAUGUUAGUUCAAGGAACUCGGCAAACAAGCUGAGCGUAAGUUAUACAAGAUGCUCUGUCACCUUUUUUAAGGUGAUCGCAGCGAAAGAUUAUCAACCGACUGUUUAUCUAAAACACAGGCUCCUGCAAACCUGUAAAGGGAAGUAUAGGAGCUGAGGCCUGUCCGGUGCUGGUAGGUUAAUUAUCGGGGUUGACCUCAACUUUAUUGAUUGAGGAAGGCUCUGGUACAAGCUCCAGUAAACGACAGCUCUAACCCUGAGAGUUCUAAGGUAGCGUAGCCCCUUGCCGGGUAAGUUCCGGCCCGCAUGAAUGGCUUAACGAGUUGAUAACUGUCUCGAACUAUUGCCCGACGAAAUUGAAAUGGCUGUGAAGAUGCGGCCUACUUGCACAAGGACAAAAAGACCCCGGAAGCUUUACUGAAACUAGACAUUGGUGAAAGGUAAUUAACUGUUGAGCGUAGGAGGGAGUCUCUAAGACAACAAUGAAACACCUCUCUUUGAUUUUUUUUCGCCUUAUUGCCUACAAGCAAAACAGUGUUUGGCGGUCAGUUUAACUGGGGCGGUUUCCUCCAAAAAAGUAACGGAGGAGCGCAAAGGUCAGCUUAUUCCGGAUGGAAAUCGGAAUGUAUGUGUAAACGCAAAAGCUGGCUUAACUGUGAGGAUGACAAUCCAAACAGAUGCGAAAGCAGGCGUUAGUGAUCCCCGAUCCCGAUGUGAUUUUCGGGACGGGCUUAACGGAUAAAAAGCUACUCCGGGGACAACAGGCUAGUCGCGCCCGAGCGCUCAUAGCGACGGCGCGGUUCGGCACCUCGAUGUCGGCUCAUCGUAUCCUGGAGCUGUAGUCGGUUCCAAG
This 2164-nucleotide ribosomal RNA is filed under the name metagenome. RNAcentral's name for it is "bacterial LSU rRNA". It matches the Rfam family "Bacterial large subunit ribosomal RNA", at positions 398 to 2569 of the family's 2925-position model. The record is from RNAcentral.